AUGUCACAAGUCACAACUGCUGUACUUAUGCAGGUAGUGUCAGAUUUAUCUUCACAACCUUACCUUACUUUUGACAGGUCUCCCUCCAAAUUUGUGCAGAGAACAGGAACUACAUUCUGUUCAGGAAAAUACUCAGUCAAAUGCCAAGAAGAUUUUUUUUUUGAAGUGAGUAUGGUAAGCAAGAAUACAAGAUUACCUGAUAUACAAAUGAAAGAGCAAUUAUUGGUAUACUUUGGGGAGCAGCAGCAAAAUUCGUUUCGAGAAGAGAACUCCACUAAAACGCAUGUGACUGCUGAGGCCAAGAAUCCAGCUUCUUGUGUGACGGCAGGGAUCGCAAGGAUACCUGCCCCGACCUAUGGCAUCAACGUAGAUGAAAAGGAAGGGAUGUCUCAAGUAGUUCCUAACAUUUGUGAAAUAAGGCCACUGUGGGUUGAGUUUUGUCUCAAAGUUGCUGAAGCUUCAAGGUCUUGCAUUUUACAUCAAAGGCGGCAAGAAGGAAGACGGAACCGGUGA
Molecule: ribosomal RNA, 513 nt
Filed under: Triticum aestivum (bread wheat)
Lineage: Eukaryota; Viridiplantae; Streptophyta; Magnoliopsida; Poales; Poaceae
Description: partial small subunit ribosomal RNA
Source: RNAcentral